Molecule: ribosomal RNA, 292 nt
Filed under: uncultured bacterium
Lineage: Bacteria
Description: partial 16S ribosomal RNA
Rfam family: Bacterial small subunit ribosomal RNA
Source: RNAcentral
GUGCCAGCAGCCGCGGUAAUACGAAGGGUGCAAGCGUUAAUCGGAAUUACUGGGCGUAAAGCGUGCGUAGGCGGUUCUUUAAGUCUGCUGUGAAAUCCCCGGGCUCAACCUGGGAAUGGCAGUGGAUACUGGAGAGCUAGAGUGUGAUAGAGGAUGGUGGAAUUCCCGGUGUAGCGGUGAAAUGCGUAGAGAUCGGGAGGAACAUCAGUGGCGAAGGCGGCCAUCUGGAUCAACACUGACGCUGAGGCACGAAAGCGUGGGGAGCAAACAGGAUUAGAAACCCGUGUAGUCC